CUGACAUCGGUCAGGAAUAACUGUUUGCUAACAAGCUUAAUGUGUGUAGCUGGACUUGCACAGUUUUCAGGAUUGCUCUUGUUACUGCCACAAUCAAACCUUGUCAAAUAUCACAUGCCCUCAAAUGAAGCAUUUGCAACUUCAAGGAGUUUACACAAUGGAAAACUUCACCCAUGCUGGCAGGAAAUGUACCCGGCCUCUGAUGACUGUCACGGUGCUUUUUUGCUUCUCUGCUCUCCAGAGAAGGGACACGGGCUGUUGCUCCAUCCCUUGACUUUAACCACCGAGUUGGGAAUGCUUCACUCUGCUUCAUUUCAUCAGCCCGUAAGUCCUGCUUGGGUAUACACAGUGUCAUUUAUCUUAUUUUCUAGCCUUUUCAUUGAAAAUACAUCUGUUUUUAAAUCUUAAGUAAUGCUCUCGAGUCUGCACUCCAAUGGAUUAGGCUGAAUGUUACCACCGUGCUUCCAGUGCGUUGGCUUCGCAGUUCCCCGUUUUGGUGCUGUUCCCCGCCACGCACACGGUGUUGGGCCCACUCCUGUCCCCCUCUAUUGUCCUGUACGGCGUCUGGGUUUGAAUGCAGGAAGAGUGGGAGGGGAACUUUAGGGAUUGGAGAUGCUAUCUGUGUACGAGCAUGCAUGUGUGUGUUCUGGGGGUGGUGCUGAGCAGUUGUGGUCAGGCUGAAAUUACCAGCACGUUCGCUAAGGACAGGAAAUGAUGCUAAGGCUCUGAUAGAGUUGCCUUAUUGCAACGCUGUGUGUGUGGCUCACUCAUUUGCUUUCGCAAAAGUAAGUAUGCGGUAUUAUAUACAAAACCUCCUUUUUCUGGUAGCUGUGUGUAUGUCGUCUUACAGAAUUGGGUCUAGUUAAAAUAGCUUCUAUUAUAAACCAAUGCGUGUAUGUCUAAUAGGCGUGUAUCUAAUAUUUCCUUCAUUAGUCACAUUCUGUUGGUUUUAUUUCAUGCUGUGUAGAAAUUAGGGUGAAUUGUGACAUUGUGGCAGUCUUGGAUCAUAUGGUUUCUAAUUGUAAGAAUGAGUUUUCAGUUGCUA
RNAcentral lists this long non-coding RNA (1045 nucleotides) under Cairina moschata (Muscovy duck). RNAcentral's name for it is "domestica (muscovy Duck (domestic type)) lncRNA (ENSCMMG00000007956.1)". Lineage: Eukaryota; Metazoa; Chordata; Aves; Anseriformes; Anatidae. The record is from RNAcentral.